AGGUCUCUUGCCUCGCUCGGUCUGCCGUCUUCACUCGGCUAAUCUUGAGCUGGAUGCAGCCCGCCCGUCCAUGACGAGUGGCCUGUAUGAGACAAGAACAAGCGUGGAGACCACGCGUCGACGUUUUUUGAGUACGGUUUUAUCCGCCUUGCACCACGGAUAUGCACCGUAAUUUAUCUGUCGGGACAUCU
Molecule: small nucleolar RNA, 191 nt
Filed under: Penicillium decumbens
Lineage: Eukaryota; Fungi; Ascomycota; Eurotiomycetes; Eurotiales; Aspergillaceae
Source: RNAcentral